GUGCUUGCUUCGGCAGCACAUAUACUAAAAUUGGAACAAUACUAAGAAGAUUAGCAUGGCCCCUGUGCAAGGAUGCCACACCAAUCGGUGAAGUGUUCCAUAUAUAU
Molecule: small nuclear RNA, 107 nt
Organism: Otolemur garnettii (small-eared galago)
Lineage: Eukaryota; Metazoa; Chordata; Mammalia; Primates; Galagidae
Source: Ensembl